Molecule: ribosomal RNA, 440 nt
Filed under: uncultured bacterium
Lineage: Bacteria
Description: partial 16S ribosomal RNA
Rfam family: Bacterial small subunit ribosomal RNA
Source: RNAcentral
UCUACGGGUGGCAGCAGUGGGGAAUAUUGCACAAUGGGGGAAACCCUGAUGCAGCGACGCCGCGUGAGUGAAGAAGUAUUUCGGUAUGUAAAGCUCUAUCAGCAGGGAAGAAAAUGACGGUACCUGAUUAAGAAGCCCCGGCUAACUACGUGCCAGCAGCCGCGGUAAUACGUAGGGGGCAAGCGUUAUCCGGAUUUACUGGGUGUAAAGGGAGCGUAGACGGUGAUGCAAGUCAGAAGUGAAAGCCCGGGGCUCAACUCCGGGACUGCUUUUGAAACUGUGUGACUGGAGUGCAGGAGAGGUAAGCGGAAUUCCUGGUGUAGCGGUGAAAUGCGUAGAUAUCAGGAGGAACACCAGUGGCGAAGGCAGCAUACCGGCGCUCAACUGACGCUCAUGCACGAAAGUGUGGGUAUCGAACAGGAUUAGAUACCCGGGUAGUC